RNAcentral lists this ribosomal RNA (402 nucleotides) under uncultured bacterium. RNAcentral describes it as "bacterial SSU rRNA". It matches the Rfam family "Bacterial small subunit ribosomal RNA", at positions 355 to 774 of the family's 1533-position model. The record is from RNAcentral.
UGGGGAAUUUUGGACAAUGGGCGAAAGCCUGAUCCAGCAAUGCCGCGUGUGUGAAGAAGGCCUUCGGGUCGUAAAGCUCUUUUAGCAGGGAAGAUAAUGACGGUACCUGCAGAAAAAGCCCCGGCUAACUUCGUGCCAGCAGCCGCGGUAAUACGAAGGGGGCUAGCGUUGCUCGGAAUUACUGGGCGUAAAGCGCACGUAGGCGGACUCUUAAGUCGGUGGUGAAAUCCUGGAGCUCAACUCCAGAACUGCCUUCGAUACUGGGAGUCUUGAGUUCGGGAGAGGUGAGUGGAACUGCGAGUGUAGAGGUGAAAUUCGUAGAUAUUCGCAAGAACACCAGUGGCGAAGGCGGCUCACUGGCCCGAUACUGACGCUGAGGUGCGAAAGCGUGGGGAGCAAACA